This 253-nucleotide ribosomal RNA is filed under the name uncultured bacterium. Its description in RNAcentral is "partial 16S ribosomal RNA". It matches the Rfam family "Bacterial small subunit ribosomal RNA", at positions 524 to 776 of the family's 1533-position model. The record is from RNAcentral.
UACGUAGGGAGCAAGCGUUGUCCGGAAUCAUUGGGCGUAAAGCGCGCGUAGGCGGCCCUGUAAGUCCGCUGUGAAAGUCAAAGGCUCAACCUUUGAAAGCCGGUGGAUACUGCAGGGCUAGAGUCCGGAAGAGGCGAGUGGAAUUCCUGGUGUAGUGGUGGAAUGCGCAGAUAUCAGGAGGAACACCAAUAGCGAAGGCAGCUCGCUGGGACGGUACUGACGCUAAGGCGCGAAAGCGUGGGGAGCGAACAGG